GUCUCUUUGGUGUAGUUGGUUAUCACGUAUGCUUCACACGCAUAAGGUCCUCGGUUCGAGCCCGAGGAGGGACA
RNAcentral lists this transfer RNA (74 nucleotides) under Serendipita indica DSM 11827. Its description in RNAcentral is "transfer RNA-Val(CAC)". Lineage: Eukaryota; Fungi; Basidiomycota; Agaricomycetes; Sebacinales; Serendipitaceae. The record is from RNAcentral.